UAACUGUCGGAAUUGUUUUGA
Molecule: non-coding RNA, 21 nt
Filed under: Caenorhabditis elegans
Lineage: Eukaryota; Metazoa; Nematoda; Chromadorea; Rhabditida; Rhabditidae
Source: RNAcentral